CUUUUGCUGACAGUCCUAAAAUCAGCCAUGGUGAAGAUUUCUGGAGAAGCCCAGUUAAGACUUUUCUGUGGAGAAAGGGGGGAACCACUUCAGUAUAAGAAGAACAAAGGGGAGGCACAGGAGGGGGCCUGAUAAAUGGGCUUGAUCAAGGGAAAGGGACAGGGUCCUGGAGAAGGGCAGCCUCAAGCAAGGAGCCAGGCCCAGGAAUGGAGAGCAAAGUGUGUUGGCCCUGGCAGGGGUCCCAUGAAAACACACAGGGCUAGGAAGGGGAGGGAGGGGAGAAUGGGGAGCGGGUAGUGC
Molecule: long non-coding RNA, 300 nt
Filed under: Marmota monax (woodchuck)
Lineage: Eukaryota; Metazoa; Chordata; Mammalia; Rodentia; Sciuridae
Source: RNAcentral